This 278-nucleotide long non-coding RNA is filed under the name Carica papaya (papaya). RNAcentral's name for it is "long non-coding RNA (CPAP_LNC010662)". The record is from RNAcentral. Lineage: Eukaryota; Viridiplantae; Streptophyta; Magnoliopsida; Brassicales; Caricaceae.
CUAGUUGCCUAAUAUACGAAAGACACACCAUUCCUUUUUUUAUGUGCUUAUUUAUGAGAUUCUAUAGAAAUUAUAUCCUUUUAGGGUUCUUUGUUGGGUCGUAAGGACUAACAUGUAAACCCAAUCCAAGUGAUUCCAAUUUUAGAUCCUAAACUCGACAAACUAAGUUGUCAAUUGAGAGAUUAUGAGGUAAACAUGAGAGAAGGUAAGAGAGAGUUUUUAUUUUUUCUAACUUCUCCUUCCAGGUACUUUGAAAUGUUUCCAAUCAUCGCAAAAAC